UACGGGGGGGGCAAGCGUUGUUCGGAAUUACUGGGCGUAAAGGGUUCGUAGGUGGCCUGCUAAGUCAGACGUGAAAUCCCUCAGCUUAACUGGGGAACUGCGUCUGAUACUGGUGGGCUUGAGUGCAGGAGAGGAACGCGGAAUUCCAGGUGUAGCAGUGAAAUGCGUAGAUAUCUGGAGGAACACCGGUGGCGAAGGCGGCGUUCUGGACUGCAACUGACACUGAGGAACGAAAGCCAGGGGAGCAAACGGG
Molecule: ribosomal RNA, 253 nt
Filed under: uncultured bacterium
Lineage: Bacteria
Description: partial 16S ribosomal RNA
Rfam family: Bacterial small subunit ribosomal RNA
Source: RNAcentral